This 458-nucleotide ribosomal RNA is filed under the name uncultured Pelotomaculum sp. Its description in RNAcentral is "bacterial SSU rRNA". It matches the Rfam family "Bacterial small subunit ribosomal RNA", at positions 929 to 1382 of the family's 1533-position model. Lineage: Bacteria; Bacillati; Bacillota; Clostridia; Eubacteriales; Desulfotomaculaceae. The record is from RNAcentral.
GCGGUGGAGCAUGUGGUUUAAUUCGACGCAACGCGAAGAACCUUACCAGGGCUUGACACUCCCCUGACCGCGUAUGAAAGUUACGUUUUCACCCUCGGGUGACAGGGAGACAGGUGGUGCAUGGUUGUCGUCAGCUCGUGUCGUGAGAUGUUGGGUUAAGUCCCGCAACGAGCGCAACCCCUACGUUUAGUUGCUAACAGGUGAAGCUGAGCACUCUAGACGAACUGCCGUUGACAAAACGGAGGAAGGUGGGGAUGACGUCAAAUCAUCAUGCCCCUUAUGUUCUGGGCUACACACGUGCUACAAUGGCCGGUACAGACGGAGGCGAAGCCGCGAGGCGGAGCAAAUCCGAAAAAGCCGGUCUCAGUUCGGAUUGCAGGCUGCAAUUCGCCUGCAUGAAGUCGGAAUCGCUAGUAAUCGCAGGUCAGCAUACUGCGGUGAAUACGUUCCCGGGCCUU